UUGGAGGGCAAGUCUGGUGCCAGCAGCCGCGGUAAUUCCAGCUCCAAUAGCGUAUAUUAAAGUUGUUGCAGUUAAUAAGCUCGUAGUUGAAUUUCGGGAUCAAUUUAUUGGUCGUGCUAUUGUACGUACUGGUAUUAUUGAUUCCUACCUUCUGACGAACCACGAUGUCAUUAAUUUGGUGUCAUGGGGAAUCAGGACUGUUACUUUGAAAAAAUUAGAGUGUUUAAAGCAGGCUCACGCUUGAAUACAUUAGCAUGGAAUAACGAAAUAGGACGUUUGAUUUUAUUUUGUUGGUUUCUAGGAUCGACGUAAUGAUUAAUAGGGAUAGUUGGGGGCAUUAGUAUUCAAUUGUCAGAGGUGAAAUUCUUGGAUUUAUUGAAGACUAACUACUGCGAAAGCAUUUGCCAAGGAUGUUUUCAUUAAUCAAGAACGAAAGUUAGGGGAUCGAAGACGAUCAGAUACCGUCGUAGUCUUAACCAUAAACUAUGCCGACUAGGGAUCGGAUGAUGUUAAUUUUUUAAUGACUCAUUCGGCGCCUUACGGGAAAC
RNAcentral lists this ribosomal RNA (548 nucleotides) under uncultured Glomeromycotina. RNAcentral describes it as "SSU rRNA". It matches the Rfam family "Eukaryotic small subunit ribosomal RNA", at positions 548 to 1098 of the family's 1831-position model. The record is from RNAcentral. Lineage: Eukaryota; Fungi; Glomeromycota.